AAGACUAAAAACUAGGCUGCUAACCUAAAAAUAAUGAAAUCUCAUUUGGUCUUU
RNAcentral lists this transfer RNA (54 nucleotides) under Ornithodoros kalahariensis. RNAcentral's name for it is "Ornithodoros sp. 1 BJM-2014 tRNA-Ser". The record is from RNAcentral. Lineage: Eukaryota; Metazoa; Arthropoda; Arachnida; Ixodida; Argasidae.